RNAcentral lists this ribosomal RNA (907 nucleotides) under uncultured bacterium. RNAcentral's name for it is "bacterial SSU rRNA". It matches the Rfam family "Bacterial small subunit ribosomal RNA", at positions 33 to 932 of the family's 1533-position model. The record is from RNAcentral.
ACGCUGGCGGCAGGCUUAACACAUGCAAGUCGAACGGUAACAGGGAUUAGCUUGCUAAUCUGCUGACGAGUGGCGGACGGGUGAGUAAUGCUUGGGAAUCUGGCUUAUGGAGGGGGAUAACUACGGGAAACUGUAGCUAAUACCGCGUAAAAUCUUCGGAUUAAAGGGUGGGACUUUCGAGCCACCUGCCAUAAGAUGAGCCCAAGUGGGAUUAGGUAGUUGGUUAGGUAAAGGCUGACCAAGCCGACGAUCUCUAGCUGGUCUGAGAGGAUGACAGCCACACUGGAACUGAGACACGGUCCAGACUCCUACGGGAGGCAGCAGUGGGGAAUAUUGCACAAUGGGGGGAACCCUGAUGCAGCCAUGCCGCGUGAAUGAAGAAGGCCUUCGGGUUGUAAAGUUCUUUCGGUGACGAGGAAGGUUGAUAGGUUAAUAGCCUAUCAAAUUGACGUUAAUCACAGAAGAAGCACCGGCUAACUCCGUGCCAGCAGCCGCGGUAAUACGGGGGGUGCGAGCGUUAAUCGGAAUAACUGGGCGUAAAAGGCACGCAGGCGGUGACUUAAGUGAGAUGUGAAAGCCCCGAGCUUAACUUGGGAAUUGCAUUUCAUACUGGGUCGCUAGAGUACUUUAGGGAGGGGUAGAAUUCCACGUGUAGCGGUGAAAUGCGUAGAGAUGUGGAGGAAUACCGAAGGCGAAGGCAGCCCCUUGGGAAUGUACUGACGCUCAUGUGCGAAAGCGUGGGGAGCAAACAGGAUUAGAUACCCUGGUAGUCCACGCUGUAAACGAUGUCGAUUUGGGGAUUGGGCUUUGAGCUUGGUGCCCGUAGCUAACGUGAUAAAUCGACCGCCUGGGGAGUACGGCCGCAAGGUUAAAACUCAAAUGAAUUGACGGGGGCCCGCACAAGCGG